RNAcentral lists this ribosomal RNA (79 nucleotides) under Vigna radiata. Its description in RNAcentral is "partial 26S ribosomal RNA". It matches the Rfam family "Eukaryotic large subunit ribosomal RNA", at positions 1 to 80 of the family's 3401-position model. The record is from RNAcentral. Lineage: Eukaryota; Viridiplantae; Streptophyta; Magnoliopsida; Fabales; Fabaceae.
AGACCUCAGGUCAGGCGGGGCUACCCGCUGAGUUUAAGCAUAUCAAUAAGCGGAGGAAAAGAAACUAACACGAUCCCUU